AAAUUGAAGAGUUUGAUCAUGGCUCAGAUUGAACGCUGGCGGCAGGCCUAACACAUGCAAGUCGAGCGGCAGCGGGAAAGUAGCUUGCUACUUUUGCCGGCGAGC
This 105-nucleotide ribosomal RNA is filed under the name Aeromonas hydrophila. RNAcentral's name for it is "partial 16S ribosomal RNA". It matches the Rfam family "Bacterial small subunit ribosomal RNA", at positions 1 to 103 of the family's 1533-position model. Lineage: Bacteria; Pseudomonadati; Pseudomonadota; Gammaproteobacteria; Aeromonadales; Aeromonadaceae. RNAcentral also lists the same sequence under 5 other names. The record is from RNAcentral.